GCGGCGGACGGGUUAGUAACGCGUGGGAACGUGCCCUUCACUACGGAAUAGUCCCGGGAAACUGGGUUUAAUACCGUAUACGCCCUUCGGGGGAAAGAUUUAUCGGUGAAGGAUCGGCCCGCGUCUGAUUAGAUAGUUGGUGGGGUAACGGCCUACCAAGUCUACGAUCAGUAGCUGGUUUGAGAGGAUGAUCAGCAACACUGGGACUGAGACACGGCCCAGACUCCUACGGGAGGCAGCAGUGGGGAAUCUUAGACAAUGGGCGCAAGCCUGAUCUAGCCAUGCCGCGUGAGUGAUGAAGGCCUUAGGGUCGUAAAGCUCUUUCGCCAGGGAUGAUAAUGACAGUACCUGGUAAAGAAACCCCGGCUAACUCCGUGCCAGCAGCCGCGGUAAUACGGAGGGGGUUAGCGUUGUUCGGAAUUACUGGGCGUAAAGCGCGCGUAGGCGGAUUAGUCAGUCAGAGGUGAAAUCCCAGGGCUCAACCCUGGAACUGCCUUUGAUACUGCUAGUCUUGAGUUCGAGAGAGGUGAGUGGAAUUCCGAGUGUAGAGGUGAAAUUCGUAGAUAUUCGGAGGAACACCAGUGGCGAAGGCGGCUCACUGGCUCGAUACUGACGCUGAGGUGCGAAAGUGUGGGGAGCAAACAGGAUUAGAUACCCUGGU
This 661-nucleotide ribosomal RNA is filed under the name Maritimibacter alkaliphilus. RNAcentral's name for it is "bacterial SSU rRNA". It matches the Rfam family "Bacterial small subunit ribosomal RNA", at positions 95 to 791 of the family's 1533-position model. Lineage: Bacteria; Pseudomonadati; Pseudomonadota; Alphaproteobacteria; Rhodobacterales; Roseobacteraceae. The record is from RNAcentral.